RNAcentral lists this ribosomal RNA (253 nucleotides) under uncultured bacterium. RNAcentral's name for it is "partial 16S ribosomal RNA". It matches the Rfam family "Bacterial small subunit ribosomal RNA", at positions 524 to 776 of the family's 1533-position model. The record is from RNAcentral.
UACGUAGGAGGCAAGCGUUGUCCGGAAUUACUGGGCGUAAAGCGCGUGUAGGCGGGCAGGUAAGUCUGUCGUGAAAGCGCCUGGCUUAACCGGGCGAGGUCGAUGGAAACUAUCUGCCUAGAGGCCGGUAGAGGGGGGUGGAAUUCCGGGUGUAGUGGUGAAAUGCGUAGAGAUCCGGAGGAACACCAGUGGCGAAGGCGGCCCCCUGGGCCGCGCCUGACGCUGAGACGCGAAAGCGCGGGGAGCGAACGGG